RNAcentral lists this ribosomal RNA (253 nucleotides) under uncultured bacterium. RNAcentral's name for it is "partial 16S ribosomal RNA". It matches the Rfam family "Bacterial small subunit ribosomal RNA", at positions 524 to 776 of the family's 1533-position model. The record is from RNAcentral.
UACAGAGGGGGCAAGCGUUAUUCGGAAUUAUUGGGCGUAAAGGGCGCGUAGGCGGCCUGGCAAGUGACGGGUGAAAGCCCUCGGCUCAACCGAGGAACUGCCUGUCAUACUGCCGGGCUUGAGUCCGGGAGAGGUGAGUGGAAUUCCCGGUGUAGCGGUGAAAUGCGCAGAUAUCGGGAAGAACACCCGUGGCGAAGGCGGCUCUCUGGAACGCAACUGACGCUGAGACGCGAAAGCGUGGGGAGCAAACAGG